AGCUGGCGGUCACCAUGGCAGUGCGGGAGCUGGUGGAGGCCGAAUGCGGGGGUGCCAACCCGCUCAUGAAGCUAGCCGGGCACUUCACCCAGGACAAGGCCCUUCGGCAGGAGGGAUUGAGGCCUGGCCCCUGGCCCCCCGGAGCCCCAGCCUCUGAUGCAGCCUCCAAGCCUUUGGGAGUAGCUUCUGAAGAUGAGUUGGUGGCUGAAUUCCUGCAGGACCAGAAUGCACCCCUUGUGUCCCGUGCCCCUCAGACCUUCAAGAUGGAUGACCUCCUGGCUGAGAUGCAGCAGAUUGAGCAGUCAAACUUCCGCCAGGCUCCCCAGAGAGCCCCAGGUGUGGCAGACUUGGCCUUGUCUGAGAACUGGGCCCAGGAGUUUCUUGCAGCUGGAGAUGCUGUGGAUGUAAUUCAGGAUUAUAAUGAGACUGACUGGUCCCAAGAAUUCAUCUCUGAAGUUACAGACCCCUUGUCUGUGUCCCCCGCCCGCUGGGCUGAGGAAUAUUUGGAGCAAUCAGAGGAGAAACUGUGGCUGGGAGAACCUGAAGGAACAGCCACCGAUCGCUGGUAUGAUGAAUAUCAUCCUGAGGAAGAUCUGCAGCACACGGCCAGUGACUUUGUGGCCAAAGUGGAUGACCCCAAAUUGGCUAAUUCUGAGUUCCUGAAAUUCGUGCGGCAGAUUGGCGAAGGGCAGGUGUCCCUGGAGUCCGGUGCAGGGUCGGGCCGAGCUCAGGCAGAACAGUGGGCAGCGGAGUUUAUACAGCAGCAGGGUACAUCAGAUGCCUGGGUUGACCAGUUCACAAGACCAGUAAAUACAUCUGCCCUUGAUACGGAGUUUGAACAAGCCAAGUCAGCUAUAGAGUCUGAUGUCGAUUUCUGGGACAAGUUGCAGGCAGAGUUGGAGGAGAUGGCAAAACGGGAUGCUGAGGCUCACCCCUGGCUUUCUGACUAUGAUGACCUUACGUCAGCUACCUAUGAUAAGGGGUACCAGUUUGAGGAGGAGAACCCCUUGCGUGAUCACCCUCAGCCUUUUGAAGAAGGGCUGCGGCGCCUUCAGGAGGGGGACCUGCCAAAUGCUGUGCUGCUUUUUGAGGCAGCUGUGCAGCAGGAUCCUAAGCACAUGGAAGCUUGGCAGUAUCUGGGUACCACCCAGGCAGAGAAUGAACAAGAACUAUUAGCCAUCAGUGCAUUGCGGAGGUGUCUGGAGCUAAAGCCAGAUAACCAAACAGCACUGAUGGCUCUGGCUGUGAGCUUCACCAACGAGUCCCUGCAGCGACAGGCCUGUGAAACCCUACGAGACUGGCUGCGGUACACACCAGCCUAUGCCCAUCUGGUGACACCUGCUGAAGAAGGGGCUGGUGGGGCAGGACUGGGCCCCAGCAAGCGUAUCCUGGGGUCUCUCUUGUCUGACUCCCUGUUUCUUGAAGUGAAAGAGCUCUUCCUGGCAGCUGUGCGGCUGGACCCUACCUCUAUUGAUCCUGAUGUGCAGUGUGGCUUGGGAGUCCUUUUCAACCUGAGUGGGGAGUAUGACAAGGCCGUGGACUGCUUCACAGCUGCCCUCAGCGUUCGUCCCAAUGACUAUUUGCUGUGGAAUAAGCUAGGGGCCACCCUGGCCAAUGGAAACCAGAGUGAAGAAGCAGUAGCUGCGUACCGCCGGGCCCUCGAGCUCCAGCCUGGCUAUAUCCGGUCCCGCUAUAACCUGGGCAUCAGCUGCAUCAACCUUGGGGCUCACCGGGAGGCUGUGGAGCACUUUCUGGAGGCCCUGAACAUGCAGAGGAAAAGCCGGGGCCCCCGGGGUGAAGGAGGCGCCAUGUCGGAGAACAUCUGGAGCACCCUGCGUUUGGCAUUGUCUAUGUUAGGCCAGAGCGAUGCCUAUGGGGCAGCUGACGCACGGGAUCUGUCCACCCUCCUAACUAUGUUUGGCCUGCCCCAGUGACAGUGGGACGGGCUGCCCUGCUAGAGUACAAUGGCAUGAUCUCAGCUCACUGCAGCCUCCGCCUCCUGGGUUCAAGCGAUUCUCCUGCCUCAGCUUCCUAAGUAGAUGGGAUUACAGGUAUGUGCCACCACACCCGGCUAAUUUUGUAUUUUUAGUAGAGACAGGGUUUCAUCAUGUUGGUCAGGCUGGUCUCAAAUGCCCGACCUCAGGCAGUCCACCCACCUCGGCCUCCCAAAGUGCUGGGAUUACAGACGUGAGCCACCGUGCCCGGCCAAAAAAAGUCUAACUUUUAAAUUUAUUUAAAAAGUUUUUUGAAUAGAGACUAGAUCUCACUAUGUUGACCAGGCUGGUCUUGAACUCCUGGCCUCAAGGAAUCCUCCUGCCUCAGCCUCCCAAAGUUCUGGGAUCACAGGGAGGAGCACCAUACCUGGCCAAAGUCUAAUUUUUUUUUUCUGGUGGGCUCAAAAGCUGCCAAAAAAAAAAAAAAAAAAAAAACCCAAAAACAAAAAAAACAGGUCUAAAAGACUACUGGGUAAGUAAAUUGUCCAGACAGUGAAAUAUAGCUAUUGCUAUUUAAUCAUUUAUGGAAUAAUUUCCAGUGACAAUAGAUGCUAACAAUACAGUGAGAAAAAUGGUUAGUCAAUUAUUUACAGAUUGUCUUAAGAAAAAAAUGCAUUGAAAAGACAAUAGGGAACUAUCCCAAUGUGCUAAAGGUGGGGAGAUCAUACUUCUCUAUAAUCCUCAAAUUUUCUUGCUGCAUGUGUGAUACUUUUCUAGAGGAGAAAAUUAAACAUCUGGGGGAGGGAAACAGGAAGCUGUGGUGGCACCUGUCACCACCUGGGUGAUCAUGAGGCAGCUAGUGUCUUGGGCUCUGCAGGUUGGUGGUGCAAAGACCCAGGCAGGAAGUGGGCUGGGCAGGUGGAGGAGCAGUUUCCACACUACGUAGGUGCAGGACAUGACAAAGUCUGGCUGUGUAAAUGACUUAAGAAUUAAGCUAAUACUUGGUUUAAGCCGAGUCUGCAGGUUUGCUUCACCUGAUUUUGGUAGCAUUAAUGUGUCCAAGAGGAUGGUUUUCUUGCAUGGCUUGUGCCAGGUACCUCUUUUGAACCCAAAUAAAAUUCAGCCAACAUUUGCUGACCCCCCUACCAUGUGCCAAGCACCAGUUCUAGGCACCAGGGCUACAAUUCACAAAGCAGAUGAGAUCCCUCCUCUUGGAGCUAACAUACUUGUUAGAGAAGAGACAGUACACAAGUAAGUAAGACAAUUUCAGUUAUAAGUGCUCUGAAGAAAUAAAAAUGUCACUAUGUACUAGAGAGUGAAGGGGAGGGUUAGUGGUGGCAACAUUAGGGUGGUGAGGAAAGGCCUUUCACAUGAGGUUAUCCACGUGAUUGGUAGGAGCCAGCCCUGGAGAGUUUCGGUGGAAGAGCAGUCCAGGUCCUGGGAGCAAAGGCUCUGAUCUGAGGCUAGAAGAGCUGUACAUUCCAACAGAAAGGGCAGGAGCUGGAGGAGACCUGAACACUCACCCACCCCACUCUCCCUCCCGCUCACAGCCAAGCUGCUUCAGUGAGUGGGCUGUGCACACUGCCUCCACUCAAGGCCAUUUCAUUCACGUCUUCUCCUACAGUACUGUUCCCUGCACUCACCAAUGCAACUGCUUUGCCACGGUCACCUGACUUCACAGAUUGCCAAAGCAAAUGGACACAUUUAUUUAUGAUCUUGACCAUACCGUGAGCUCUGCCACACGUGGUUAGGCAGGUCGUGUACUGCAUAUUACUAUGCCAUUAAUAUCCAUAUGAUGAUCUGUAGUGUUGCGCAGUUCACAGUCUAUACGGCUGUACUCUGGCUCCGCAUUGAUGACCACCCUUCUUUAAGUCUUCUCCCCUGCUUCUGUUAUUUCUUUUCUCAUGGUUCUACUUCUUCUCAGUCUUCCUUACGUGUCUCUAUCUGCUGCUUAAUGUUGAUCUUCCUCAGGGCUGUUCUUGCCUUGCUUUCCUUGCUUUGCAGGAUCCUGUGGUGCCUUCAUCCACACCUGUGGCGUAACUACCAUGUAAAUGUUGAUGACAGUCUAACCUAGAUCUCACCCCAGGCCUUAGAUACAUGGUACAGUUACUAUGUUCUGCCUUCUCCUCUUGGAUGUUCCCUAGGUACCUUAAAGUCAACAAAUUCGAAACAGGAAUUUCCUUCCAAAAAUCUGCUCCUUGUUUUGUAGACCUGGAGACACAUGAGGAGAAAGCGGUUGUUUCCACUGUUUGCUGUAAAGAACAAAUUGAGAAUAUUCAUGUAAUUGUCUCCUAGUGCACAUAUGCAAGAAUUUUGAGAUAUAUACCAAGGAGUAGAAUUGUUGAGUCGGGUGCAUACCCAUUGUUAGGUAUAUGCCAACGGGUAGAAUUCUUGUGAAUAAUUUAGGGCUGGAGUAUACUCGACUUGCUGCACACUCCCUGCGUCGGGUUCCCGUGAUUCUCCUGCCUCGGCCUGCGGGCUGCCUGGGAUUGCGGGCGCGCACCACCACCCCUGCCUGCUUUUUGUCCUUUGGCUAGAGGUGCGGUUUCGCCAUGUUGGCCACGCUGCUCUCCAGCUCCUAACCUCGAGUGCUCUGCCCGCCUCGGCCUCCCGAGGUGCUGGGACUGCAGACAGAGUCUCGCUCAAUCGGUGCACCGUGUUGCCCGGGCUGGACUGCGAUGGCGUGGUCUUGGCUCGCUGCAGCCUCUGCCUCCCAGCCGCCUGCCUUGGCCUCCCAGGGUGCUGGGAUUGCAGCCUCUGCCUGGCCGCUGCUCCCUCUGGGAGGUGGGGAGCGUCUCUGCCUGGCCGCCAAUCCUCUGAGAUGUGAGGAGCGCCUCGCCCGGCCGCCCCGUCGGGGAGUUGCGGAGUGCCUCUGCCCAGCCGCCACCCCGUCUAGGUAGGAAGUGAGGACAUUCUCUGGCCGCCCAGCGUCCGGGAGGUGAGGAGCGACUGCCCGGCCGCCCCGUCUGGGAAGUGAGGAGUGCCUGUGCCCCGCCGCCCCGUCUGGGAUGUGAGGAGCGCGUCUGCCCGGCCACCCCGUCUGGGAUGUGAGGAGCGCCUCUGCCCGGCCGCCCCGUCUGGGAAGUGAGGAGCGUAUGUGCCCGGCCGCCCAUCGUCUGGGAAGUGAGGAGCGCCUCUGCCCGGCCGCCCAUCGUCUGGGAUGUGAGGAGCGCCUCUGCCCGGCCGCCCCGUCUGGGAGUUGAGGAGUGCCGCUGCCUGGCCGCCCCGUCUGAGAGGUGAGGAGGGCCUCUGCCCGGCCGCCCCGUCUGGGAAGAAGUGAGGAGCGCCUCUGCCCGGGUGCCCCGUCUGGGAAGAAGUGAGGAGCGCCUCUGCCCGGCCGCCCCGUCUGGGAAGUGAGGAGCGCCUCUGCCCAGCCGCCCCGUCUGGGAAGUGGGGAGCGCCUCUGCCCGGCCGCCCCGUCUGGGAGGUCUACCAUGGAGGCCAGAGGUAAUGUGGAGGCUGGACGUGGUGGCUCACGCCUGUAGUCCCAGCACUCUAGGAGGCCGAGGUGGGUUGAUCACUUGAGGCUUAGAGUUCGAGACCAGCCUGGCCAACAUGGCGAAACAUAUGAAAAAUACAACAGACCAACCAACCAACCCAGCAACAACAAAACAGGUCUACCCUGGAGUCAUACUCUAAUUUUUCUAUUUUCCUCCCUUUCUGAUCCUUUAUCCCACUUUCUUUUUCUCUCUCUUCCUUCUUCUUCUUUGUCAAAUGGAGGAUUGAGUUAUUAUCAUUGAUCCAAAAUUUGCAGUCACUAAGGCUAAGGUUAAGAAAACCAUUUUAUAAAUGGACAAUGGACAUGAACAGACACUUUUCAAAAUAAGACAUUCAUUUGGUCAACAAAUAUAUGAAAAAAUGCUCAACAUUACUAAUGCAAUUCAAAUCAAAACCACAAUGAGAUACCAUCUCACAGUACUCAGAAUGGCUAUUAUUAAAAAGUCAAAAAAGUAACAUGUUAGGUUGCAGAGUGAAGGGGACUUAAGUGGGAGUGUAAAUUAGUUCAGCCACUGUGGGAAGCAGUUUGGAAAUUUCUCAAAGAACUUAGAACUACCAUUUGACCAAGUAGUCCCAUUACAGGGUAUAUGCCCAAAGGAAAAUAAAUCACUCUACCCAAAAGACACAUGCACUCAUAUGUUCAUUGCAGCAGUAUUCAUGAUAGCAAUGAUGUGAAAUCAACCUGGAUGCCCGUUAAUGGUGGACCGGAUAAAGAAAAUGUGAUACAUAUACAAUAUAGAAUACUAUGCAUCCAUGAAAAAGAACAAAAUCACAUCCUUUGCAGCAACAUGGUUGCAGCUGGAGGCCAUUAUCCUAAACAAAUUAACACAGGAACAGAAAACCAAAUACCACAGAUUCUCACUUAUAAGUGAGAGCUAAACAUUUAGUACACAUGAACAUAAAGAUAGGAACAGCAGACACUGCAAACUACCAGAGAGGUGGAGGGGGAUGAAGGUUGAAAAACUACUGGGUACUAUGCUCACUCUUCUGGGUGACAUGAUAAGUGUCUUUGGUGUACCUUUUGUUAAUAAAUUAUUACUUUAUACACACUAA
This is an RNA transcript of Symphalangus syndactylus (siamang), 6485 nucleotides long. It is a transcript of the gene named peroxisomal biogenesis factor 5, with no coding region annotated. The record is from RefSeq and is a predicted model, not a curated record. NCBI's taxonomy places the organism in Eukaryota, Metazoa, Chordata, Mammalia, Primates, Hylobatidae.